AUCGCUUCUCGGCCUUUUGGCUAAGAUCAAGUGUAGUAUCUGUGUUGCAGGCACUGUGCUAGGCAUUGGGGCUGCCACAGGGAACACAACAGAUAAAAAUUUCU
The sequence is a small nuclear RNA, 104 nucleotides long. Its record names the gene U2. It matches the Rfam family "U2 spliceosomal RNA". From Rfam's summary of the family: U2 is a small nuclear RNA (snRNA) component of the spliceosome (involved in pre-mRNA splicing). Complementary binding between U2 snRNA (in an area lying towards the 5' end but 3' to hairpin I) and the branchpoint sequence (BPS) of the intron results the bulging out of an unpaired adenosine, on the BPS, which initiates a nucleophilic attack at the intronic 5' splice site, thus starting the first of two transesterification reactions that mediate splicing. The record is from Ensembl.